AGCUUUCUGAAUCCGUGCAGAGUUGUUGUCAGACACCAACCCAUCAGGGUUGAUCAGACUCCUAAGAUAAGUGAAGUU
RNAcentral lists this microRNA precursor (78 nucleotides) under Schistosoma margrebowiei. Its description in RNAcentral is "mir-3492 microRNA precursor family". It matches the Rfam family "mir-3492 microRNA precursor family". Lineage: Eukaryota; Metazoa; Platyhelminthes; Trematoda; Strigeidida; Schistosomatidae. The record is from Rfam by way of RNAcentral.